UGAGCUCAGGCAAGACUACCCGCUGAACUUAAGCAUAUCAAUAAGCG
RNAcentral lists this ribosomal RNA (47 nucleotides) under Meyerella planktonica. RNAcentral's name for it is "partial 26S ribosomal RNA". Lineage: Eukaryota; Viridiplantae; Chlorophyta; Trebouxiophyceae; Chlorellales; Chlorellaceae. The record is from RNAcentral.